Molecule: small nucleolar RNA, 140 nt
Organism: Loxodonta africana (African savanna elephant)
Lineage: Eukaryota; Metazoa; Chordata; Mammalia; Proboscidea; Elephantidae
Gene: SCARNA11
Product: small Cajal body-specific RNA 11
Source: Ensembl
UUGUCCUGGCCUGUGCAUUCCUACUUCCCUGUGCUCAGCUGUAACAGGGGGGUCUGUGGCAGGACGAACAGCAGUCUCCUCUCAGUUUAGGAGGGCUGUCCUAAGAAUAGGGCUGGCUCUUAAAGGCACGAGAGGACAAU